GACGAACGCUGGCGGCGUGCUUAACACAUGCAAGUCGAACGGAAAGGCCCUGCUUUUGUGGGGUGCUCGAGUGGCGAACGGGUGAGUAACACGUGAGUAACCUGCCCUUGACUUUGGGAUAACUUCAGGAAACUGGGGCUAAUACCGGAUAGGAGCUCCUGCUGCAUGGUGGGGGUUGGAAAGUUUCGGCGGUUGGGGAUGGACUCGCGGCUUAUCAGCUUGUUGGUGGGGUAGUGGCUUACCAAGGCUUUGACGGGUAGCCGGCCUGAGAGGGUGACCGGCCACAUUGGGACUGAGAUGCGGCCCAGACUCCUACGGGAGGCAGCAGUGGGGAAUAUUGCACAAUGGGCGGAAGCCUGAUGCAGCAACGCCGCGUGCGGGAUGACGGCCUUCGGGUUGUAAACCGCUUUCGCCUGUGACGAAGCGUGAGUGACGGUAAUGGGCAAAGAAGCACCGGCUAACUACGUG
RNAcentral lists this ribosomal RNA (468 nucleotides) under uncultured bacterium. RNAcentral describes it as "partial 16S ribosomal RNA". It matches the Rfam family "Bacterial small subunit ribosomal RNA", at positions 28 to 507 of the family's 1533-position model. The record is from RNAcentral.